CAACGAAAUCAGGAGAUUCAACACUGCCAUAAACGGCAUAGCUUCGAUCUAGAAAUCCAAAGAUCAAAUCUACAACGGACUCUCUAGGACACAUCGAAACCCUACUAGGGUCGGCGGCGGUGGAACUCAGACUCCCCCAAAUCAUCACCAUCACGCAGAGCAGCGUCACGAUCCGCCUUGGCCAAACCCUAGUUCCCAUCAUCGAAAAGCCCACAAGAAAAAGGAGAAAAAAAAAAAAAAAGGACCCAACUAAAAAAACCGAGGGCACUAAAAAUCAGGGCAGUCGAGAGAAGAAUCGAAGAAGAAGAAGGGCGGUGAAAGAACGAAACCAGCACAUUUUAGGGCAAUUUUGUAAAGGAUGGAGCCCAGAGAAUAUCGAAAAUGAUUCUUAAAUAGCAAUGGAGUCAGUUGAGAGAGAUCACAAGAUAAAAUAAUAAUAAUAAUAAUUUAUAUAAGUCUGGUUUUGGAUGGGGGAAGAAGAGGAAACGGUAGCGCUUUGGGAGGGAG
This 507-nucleotide unclassified non-coding RNA is filed under the name Hevea brasiliensis (rubber tree). The record is from RNAcentral. Lineage: Eukaryota; Viridiplantae; Streptophyta; Magnoliopsida; Malpighiales; Euphorbiaceae.